CCUGCUCAUACAUAUACAAUAUCAGAACUCUCACUUGCAAGUUGAUAUUGAUACAGGAAAGUUUCCCUUGUCCCCCUCACAGGGCAUGCGAUGGGGACGUGGCUAACUUAUUCAGUGUCCCGAUGCUCAGCAUAUAGCUCCACAGACUGUGGGGCACCGACCCCACGGCAGCAUCUAGGGGUGAAUGUUUACAGCUCUUGAAGCCCCAGUGGCUGCACAUAAUCUCAAUGUUAGAAUGAUUAACUGAAAAGAACACACAAUUUCAGACAAUAUCUCUGGUACCAAGUCAAACCAGGAACAUUCUGAACCUAGAGUUGUUUGAACAAAGACUGGAGAGUACUGCCUUCUUCGACAUACCAGAACCCACAGGAAGAUGGUUCUUGCAAACUGAGUUUCAGAAAUCAUGACCCUGGCAUGAAUCACAAGAUCAUAAAAGCCUUCUGAGAUUCUGCAAACAUGGUAUCUCUAUCUCCUUGACAUUCUCCUGCAGCAUUCCAGACAGGCUGUUGAGAUUGAGGUAGAGAUAGAGUGGGCAGCCUGGAGAAAAUUGUAAAUGUUUGUAAAACCUGCUGAGGAGCUUUGGAGAAGCAGAUGACCCAGACCAAAUAAAAAGACUGCUAAGCUAUUCUGGAGGUUCACCUGAGUUUAGAGGGCAUGGAUUUAUUGUGGCUAUUGCAUUCCAGACCCUUGAAUAUGUUUUCACAUUUAAUCCUCCUGACAUCUAAAUAUGUAAAUAUAAUUUUCCUGAUUUUGCAGAAUUUAAGUCACUAAUAGAAGCUGCCACCGCUAGUUAGAGUUUUGUGGAUGCAAACAACAGAAAAUCACUUUUAUAGAUAAAAGGCAUUUCACUGGAAAAAUAUGUGGAAACAAGAGGGCCAAAACAAAGAGGGAGGUUAAUGAACCAAUAUGUAAAGAACAAAACCAAAGCAUUUCGCAGGCCUCAAGUAGUAAAAACGAAUAGACCGAUUCUUUAGGAUAUAGCUGCCUGUAUAUUCCUUAGUAUCUUUGGAUCACUCCGCCCCAGAGUCCAAUUCUGAGAGAGCAGAUGGUGGGGAGACACUGACUGCCUUAGCCAAAGUCAUACUCUUAGUUGAGAAGCUGCCUCCAAGACUGGAAUACAGCAUUGUGCAGGUUAAGAUGGUUUUGCCAAAGAAAGGAGGCUGGAUAACGGUGAGCAAAGAUGAGCAAAUAUGUCCACAACAGAUCAAAUAGCAGAAUCUCUAUUUGUCAGAUGUGAAACCUAAUGUAUGUUUUUUAGCUAGGUCUGUUGUCAUCUGGAUGAUUAUAGCACAAGUGAAACAGAAGAGAAAGAGAUUUGAGGGCAUUAAUGCUGGAAAUAGUGAUGGAUAAUCACUAUACGUCUGAGCUAGGAAAGAUAAUUUGGAAACCAGAACUGGGACAAGGUGGGUUUAAAUCAAGUUUAGCCUAAAGCUGCCUUCUCACACAUUUAAGUUUGGCCUAAAGCUUUUUCUGUACGUCAUGAACUGUAACAGGUGGAGGGCUAAACCAGCCAUAGCCCACACCUGUGCCAAUCACUGAGUUUUGGCCAAUCAAAUGUAGCCAACUGUUUGAACCGUGUUCAAAUAAGGCAAAUGCCAAGCUGUAACCAAUCCAGUUGUUUCUGUACUUCACUUUUGUUUUCUGUAUGUCACUUUCCUUUUGCUGUCUACAAAUCUUCUUCCACCACGUGGCUGUGCUGGAUUCUCUAUGAAUCUGCUGUGAUUCUGAGGGUUGCCCUAUUUGCAAAUUGUUCAUUCCUCAAUUAAACUCCUUUAAAUUGAACUCGGCUGAAGUUCUUUUGCCAGUGGUAAGAAAUUUCUAAGAAUCUUCUGAGAUUUUCUCUGUUUUUUGAGAGAGUCUCCCUUUUUUUUGAGACAUUUUUGUUUGUUUUUUGUUUUUGUCUUUUUGGUUUUUUUCCUUUUUGUGGAGAAUGGGAUCUCACUAUAUGCUGAGGCAGGUCUCGAACUCCUGGGCUCAAGCUAUCCUCCCGCCUCUGCCUCCCUAAGAGCUGGGAUUACAAGUGUGAUCCACAGUGCCCGGUGAGACAUUGUUUCACCAUGUCGGUCAGGCUGGUCUCAAAUUCCUGAUCUCAAGUGAUUUACCUGCCUCAGCCUCCCAAAGUGCUGGGAUUACAGGAGUGAGCCAUCACUCCCAGCCAGAUCUUCUGAGAUUAUGCCAGAAAUUUUUUUUUUUUUGAGAUGGAGUUUUACCUUUUUGCCUAGGCUGGAGGGCAAUGGUGCAAUCAUGGCCCACUGCAACCACUGCCUCCCCCACCGAGUUCAAGUGAUUCUCCUACCUCAGCUUCCCGAGUAGCUGAGAUUACAGGUACCUGCCACCACACCUGGCUAAUUUUUGUAUUUUUAGUAGAGAUGGGGUUUCACCAUAUUGGCCAGGCAGGUCUCGAGCUCCUGACUUCAGGUGAUCCACCUGCCUCAACCUCCCAAACUGCUGGAAUUACAGGCAUGAGCCACCGCGCCUGACCUAUUAUGCCAGAAAUUCUAUGAUGUAAACCAAGCAAGAGGCAUGCUGUGAGAAAUUGAGGUGCUGUGAAGGGUCAUCAGAGAGCAAAUGAAGUUCCAAUUGGGUUUUAGUUUCAUUUAUUUAUUUAUUUAAAAUAGAGUCAGACACAGUGGCUCACCCCUAUAAUCCUAGCACUUUGGGAGGCUAAGGCUUGAGCCCAGGAGUUUGAGACCAGCCUGGGAAACAUAGCGAGACCCUGUCUCUAUGUAAAAAAAAAAAUUAUUGGAUUAGGCAGGGAUGGUGGCAUAUGCCUGUGGUUCCAGCUACUCUAGAGGCUGAGAUAGGAGGAUCACUUGCACCCAGAAGGUUGAGGCUGCAGUGAGCUGUGUUUACACCAGUGCACUCCAGUCUGGGCAACAGAGCAAGACCCUGCCUCAAACGAAUAAAUAAAAUAAAAUACAUUAAAAUGCUGUCAUUUAUUUCCAUUUACUGGGGGAAAAG
This is a long non-coding RNA of Callithrix jacchus (white-tufted-ear marmoset), 2961 nucleotides long. RefSeq lists it as uncharacterized. NCBI's taxonomy places the organism in Eukaryota, Metazoa, Chordata, Mammalia, Primates, Cebidae. The record is from RefSeq and is a predicted model, not a curated record.